CUAUUUCCAGUUAACUAAUCUCUCUCUCUCUGAGAUAUUCUUAUAAAAUUCAUCUCUUCAAAUUCUCUGCAUUUGACACAGAUUUUGAUUUUCCCCGGAACAGUGGUCAUCUUCGCCGGCAAUUGUGAGGCUAAUUCAUUCUCCGGGGAUCAAACGGAGGGUCUCACUAUUCCUACUCCUCGUACUGUUGAAGAGGUCUCUAGCGACUUCAGAGGUCGACGAGCUGGUCAUUAAGGCUCUCUCACCAUCGAUAUGGUGAACCUUUACCAAACGUGCCAUCCUGGAAGAGGCUCUUUCAGAUGAUAAACGACCUCCCAACAAUUUUUGAGGUUGUGAGGACGAUGAUGAGCAUGGUGGCCCUUGUGGCUCUUGCGGAGACAACUUCGGUACAGAUGAGUUUUGGAUUUGCUGCGACGAGUGUGAGAAAUGGUUCCAUGGAAGAUGUGUGAAGAUAACACCUGAAAAAGCAGAACAUAUCGUACAUUACAAAUGCCCUAGAUUCAGUUACAAGAGAGCCAGACCUUGUUGAUGUUAAAAUAAAACAACCAAAAGAAGAAGAGAAAAUAGUUAAAGGAGGAAACUGUGAAAGAAGGAGAAGAGGUUCCUAGUUUAUUGAACAAAAGGGUUUUAGAAAUUGCAAGAAGGGUAAAAAAAUACGCUAUUUUCAAUUGGGUAAUGUCUUUUCUCUUUUGGGAUUUUUUCUUGUUUUUCUUUCUUGUCUGCCUUUUUUUUUAGUUGGAAAUAUGCUGGAGUAUAUAUUAUUUAUCAACUAUUACUAUGUCUUUCAUAAGCCUACAUAUAUCAGCUUAUGUGAUUUUGCGUGGCUUUUUAUUAUCACGUAAACUA
Brassica rapa (field mustard) is the source of this 846-nucleotide long non-coding RNA. RefSeq lists it as uncharacterized. The record is from RefSeq and is a predicted model, not a curated record. NCBI's taxonomy places the organism in Eukaryota, Viridiplantae, Streptophyta, Magnoliopsida, Brassicales, Brassicaceae.